Molecule: ribosomal RNA, 253 nt
Filed under: uncultured bacterium
Lineage: Bacteria
Description: partial 16S ribosomal RNA
Rfam family: Bacterial small subunit ribosomal RNA
Source: RNAcentral
UACGUAGGGUGCGAGCGUUGUCCGGAAUUAUUGGGCGUAAAGAGCGCGCAGGCGGCUUGGCAAGUCGGGUGUGAAAUCCCGGGGCUCAACCCCGGGACUGCAUUCGAUACUGUCAGGCUAGAGGUAGGUAGGGGAGAUCGGAAUUCCUGGUGUAGCGGUGAAAUGCGCAGAUAUCAGGAGGAACACCGGUGGCGAAGGCGGAUCUCUGGGCCUUACCUGACGCUCAGGCGCGAAAGCUAGGGGAGCGAACAGG